CAAGCUUCCUCAAAGAAUGAUAGAAUAUUAUGUAAAUAACAUUUUUGCUAAAAGUAUCCCUUUCAUCCUAUAACAAGCCAUAAUUCAGGCUCAAUGGUUAAAUGCUCUGGGUUACUCGUAACAGGACUCGCCAGAGUAACAGGGCUCACUGGUAACAGGACUCGCCAGAGUAACAGAGCUCACUGGUAACAGGACUUACUGGUAACAGGACUCGCCAGUGUAACAGAGCUCACUGGUAACAGGACUCGCCAGAGUAACAGGACUCACUGGUAACAGGACUCGCCAGAGUAACAGGACUCACUGGUAACAGGACUCGCCAGUGUAACAGGGCUCACUGGUAACAGACUCGCCAGAGUAAGAGAGCUUACUGGUAACAGGACUCACUGGUAACAGGACUCGCCAGUGUAACAGAGCUCACUGGUAACAGGACUCGCCAGAGUAAGAGAGCUUACUGGUAACAGGACUCGCCAGAGUAACAGGACUCGCCAUUGUAAUAGGGCUUACUGGUAACAGGACUCGCCAGUGUAACAGGGCUUACUGGUAACAGGACUCGCCAGUGUAACAGGGCUUACUGGUAACAGGACUCGCCAGAGUAACAGGGCUCACUGGUAACAGGACUCGCCAGUGUAACAGGGCUCACUGGUAACAGGACUCGCCAGAGUAAGAGAGCUUACUGGUAACAGGACUCGCCAGUGUAACAGGGCUCACUGGUAACAGGACUCGCCAGUGUAACAGGGCUCACUGGUAACAGGACUCGCCAGUGUAACAGGGCUCACUGGUAACAGGACUCGCCAGAGUAAGAGAGCUUACUGGUAACAGGACUUACUGGUAACAGGACUCGCCAG
Molecule: long non-coding RNA, 845 nt
Organism: Ictalurus punctatus (channel catfish)
Lineage: Eukaryota; Metazoa; Chordata; Actinopteri; Siluriformes; Ictaluridae
Source: Ensembl